UACGUAGGUCCCGAGCGUUAUCCGGAUUUAUUGGGCGUAAAGCGAGCGCAGGCGGUUGGAUAAGUCUGAAGUUAAAGGCUGUGGCUUAACCAUAGUAUGCUUUGGAAACUGUUCAACUUGAGUGCAGAAGGGGAGAGUGGAAUUCCAUGUGUAGCGGUGGAAUGCGUAGAUAUAUGGAGGAACACCGGUGGCGAAAGCGGCUCUCUGGUCUGUAACUGACGCUGAGGCUCGAAAGCGUGGGUAGCGAACAGG
Molecule: ribosomal RNA, 252 nt
Filed under: uncultured bacterium
Lineage: Bacteria
Description: partial 16S ribosomal RNA
Rfam family: Bacterial small subunit ribosomal RNA
Source: RNAcentral